UACGUAGGGUGCGAGCGUUAAUCGGAAUUACUGGGCGUAAAGCGUGCGCAGGCGGUUUUUUAAGUCAGGUGUGAAAUCCCCGGGCUUAACCUGGGAACUGCAUUUGUUACUGCAAGGCUAGAGUGUGGCAGAGGGGGGUAGAAUUCCGCGUGUAGCAGUGAAAUGUGUAGAUAUGCGGAGGAAUACCGAUGGCGAAGGCAGCUUCCUGGGUCAACACUGACGCUCAUGCACGAAAGCGUGGGGAGCAAACAGG
RNAcentral lists this ribosomal RNA (253 nucleotides) under uncultured bacterium. RNAcentral's name for it is "partial 16S ribosomal RNA". It matches the Rfam family "Bacterial small subunit ribosomal RNA", at positions 524 to 776 of the family's 1533-position model. The record is from RNAcentral.